UAUCCGGGUUUCUAACACACU
RNAcentral lists this microRNA (21 nucleotides) under Mus musculus (house mouse). RNAcentral's name for it is "mmu-miR-7219-3p". Lineage: Eukaryota; Metazoa; Chordata; Mammalia; Rodentia; Muridae. The record is from miRBase by way of RNAcentral.